AUGGAAUUAAGAUUUCCCAGGUUUAGCCAAGGCUUAGCUCAGGACCCCACUACUCGUCAUAUUUGGUUUGGUAUUGCUACCGCACAUGAUUUCGAAAGUCAUGAUGAUAUUACUGAAGAAUGUCUUUAUCAGAACAUUUUUGCUUCUCACUUUGGGCAAUUAGCAAUAAUCUUUCUAUGGACGUCCGGAAAUCUGUUUCAUGUAGCUUGGCAAGGAAAUUUUGAAUCAUGGAUACAGGAUCCUUUACACGUAAGACCUAUUGCUCAUGCGAUUUGGGAUCCUCAUUUUGGUCAACCCGCUGUGGAAGCCUUUACUCGAGGAGGUGCUGCUGGUCCAGUGAAUAUUGCUUAUUCUAGAGUUUAUCAGUGGUGGUAUACAAUAGGAUUACGCACCAAUGAGCAUCUUUAUAUUGGAGCUCUUUUUCUAUUAUUUCUUUCUACGCUGUCCUUAAUAGCGGGUUGGUUACAUCUACAACCCAAAUGGAAACCAAGCCUUUCGUGGUUCAAAAACGCGGAAUCUCGUCUCAAUCAUCAUUUGUCAGGACUUUUCGGGGUAAGUUCUUUGGCUUGGACAGGACAUUUAGUUCAUGUUGCUAUUCCCGCAUCCAGGGGGUACGUUCAAUGGAAUAAUUUCUUAGAUGUAUUACCCUAUCCCCAGGGGUUGGGACCCCUUUUGACGGGUCAAUGGAAUCUUUAUGCCCAAAACCCUGAUUCGAGUAAUCAUUUAUUUGGUACCGCUCAAGGAGCAGGAACUGCCAUUCUAACUCUUCUUGGGGGACAUCCACAAACGCAAAGUUUGUGGCUGACCGAUAUGGCUCACCAUCAUUUAGCUAUUGCAUUUAUUUUUCUCAUUGCCGGUCACAUGUAUCGAACUAACUUCAGAAUUGGGCACAAUAUUAAAGAUCUUUUAGAAGCGCAUACUCCUCCGGGGGGUCGAUUAGGGCGUGGGCAUAAGGGCCUUUAUGACACAAUCAACAAUUCGAUUCAUUUUCAGUUAGGUCUUGCUCUAGCUUCUUUAGGGGUUAUUACUUCCUUAGUAGCUCAACAUAUGUACUCUUUACCUCCUUAUGCAUUCAUAGCACAAGACUUUACUACUCAAGCUGCUUUAUAUACUCAUCACCAAUAUAUUGCAGGGUUCAUCAUGACAGGGGCUUUUGCUCAUGGAGCUAUUUUUUUCAUUAGGGAUUACAAUCCAGAACAGAAUGAGGAUAAUGUAUUGGCAAGAAUGUUAGACCAUAAAGAAGCUAUCAUAUCUCAUUUAAGUUGGGCUAGCCUCUUUCUAGGGUUCCAUACCUUGGGCCUUUAUGUUCAUAACGACGUCAUGCUUGCUUUUGGUACUCCAGAAAAGCAAAUCUUGAUCGAACCUAUAUUUUCCCAAUGGAUACAAUCUGCUCAUGGCAAGACGACAUAUGGGUUCGAUAUACUCUUAUCUUCAACGAAUGGCCCCGCUUUCAAUGCGGGUCGAAGCCUAUGGUUGCCCGGAUGGUUGAAUGUUGUUAAUGAGAAUAGUAAUUCGCUUUUCUUAACAAUAGGACCUGGGGAUUUCUUGGUUCAUCAUGCUAUUGCUCUAGGUUUGCAUACAACUACAUUGAUUUUAGUAAAGGGCGCUUUAGAUGCACGCGGUUCCAAAUUAAUGCCAGAUAAAACGGAUUUUGGAUAUAGUUUUCCUUGUGACGGCCCAGGGCACGGCGGUACUUGUGAUAUUUCUGCUUGGGACGCAUUUUAUUUGGCAGUUUUAUGGAUGUUAAAUACCAUUGGGUGGGUUACUUUUUAUUGGCAUUGGAAACAUAUCACAUUAUGGCAGGGCAACGUUUCACAAUUUAAUGAAUCCUCCACUUAUUUGAUGGGAUGGUUAAGAGAUUACCUAUGGUUAAACUCUUCACAACUUAUCAAUGGAUAUAAUCCUUUUGGGAUGAAUAGUUUAUCGGUAUGGGCGUGGAUGUUCUUAUUUGGACAUCUUGUUUGGGCUACUUGAUUUAUGUUCUUAAUUUCCUGGCGGGGGUAUUGGCAGGAAUUAAUUGAGACUUUAGCAUGGGCUCAUGAACGCACACCUUUAGCUAAUUUAAUUCGCUGGAGAGAUAAGCCCGUGGCUCUUUCCAUUGUGCGAGCAAGAUUGGUUGGAUUAGCUCACUUUUCCGUGAGUUAUAUAUUCACUUAUGCAGCUUUCUUGAUUGCCUCAACAUCAGGCAAGUUUGGUUAA
This 2199-nucleotide ribosomal RNA is filed under the name Triticum aestivum (bread wheat). RNAcentral describes it as "partial small subunit ribosomal RNA". Lineage: Eukaryota; Viridiplantae; Streptophyta; Magnoliopsida; Poales; Poaceae. The record is from RNAcentral.